GACGAACGCUGGCGGCGUGCUUAACACAUGCAAGUCGAACGGAAAGGCCCUGCUUUUGUGGGGUGCUCGAGUGGCGAACGGGUGAGUAACACGUUAGUAACCUGCCCUUGACUUUGGGAUAACUUCAGGAAACUGGGGCUAAUACGGGAUAGGAGCUCCUGCUGCGUGGUGGUGGUUGGAAAGUUUCGGCGGUUGGGGAUGGACUCGCGGCUUAUCAGCUUGUUGGUGGGGUAGGGGCUUACCAAGGCUUUGACGGGUAGCCGGCCUGAGAGGGUGACCGGCCACAUUGGGACUGAGAUAAGGCCCAGACUCCUACGGGAGGCAGCAGUGGGGAAUAUUGCACAAUGGGCGGAAGCCUGAUGCAGCAACGCCGCGUGCGGGAUGACGGCCUUCGGGUGGUAAACCGCUUUCGCCUGUGACGAAGCGUGAGUGACGGUAAUGGGUAAAGAAGCACCGGCUAACUACGUG
Molecule: ribosomal RNA, 468 nt
Filed under: uncultured bacterium
Lineage: Bacteria
Description: partial 16S ribosomal RNA
Rfam family: Bacterial small subunit ribosomal RNA
Source: RNAcentral